UACAGAGGUCUCAAGCGUUGUUCGGAUUUACUGGGCGUAAAGGGCGCGUAGGCGGCAAUUCAAGUCAUCUGUGAAAUCUCCGGGCUUAACCCGGAACGGUCAGAUGAUACUGCUUUGCUAGAGUGCAGAAGGGGCAAUCGGAAUUCUUGGUGUAGCGGUGAAAUGCGUAGAUAUCAAGAGGAACACCUGAGGUGAAGACGGGUUGCUGGGCUGACACUGACGCUGAGUGCGCGAAAGCCAGGGGAGCAAACGGG
RNAcentral lists this ribosomal RNA (254 nucleotides) under uncultured bacterium. RNAcentral's name for it is "partial 16S ribosomal RNA". It matches the Rfam family "Bacterial small subunit ribosomal RNA", at positions 524 to 776 of the family's 1533-position model. The record is from RNAcentral.